UUAAAAAUAUGGAAGAAAAGGCUAUGAAUUCAAGGAGCUAUAGAUGUCUUUGAAUCCAUAUCCUACAAACUGUCUUGGUUUCUUUGUUUUCUAUCAGUUUACCCACAUACUAAGGCUUCAUAGAUCAAAACUAUAUUCUAAUCUGAAAGAGAGCAAUGAUCUUCUAGAAAUAAUAUUCUCUGGUUCUGUUUAGGCUGAAGAAGUAUUUGAAGAAACAUCACUUCAACUGGACCAAAAAAAAGUUCAUUGUAUCCAGCUGUUAAAGGACAGUAGAGAAAGUUGUCUGGAUACUCUGAAUGCCAAAUGGAGAAAAAUCCCUUAUCUGUAAACUUACAGACAGAGAAUAUUUGUCCAUGUCUGAGAGUUGGUGUACUGAAAAAAAGUAAGAACAUGACAUCAGCCAAGCCAUAGAAGAUUGUAUGAGAUAACAAUCUGGGAAAAAUAAGAACACAAAAGCCAAAUAUGGACCUCCAGAGUAACAGACACAAACAAACAAGGUUCAAAUUAAAGCCUCUAGUGGCUAACAUUGGUUGUCAACUAGACACACUUGUGAAGAAAACUCAACUAAUAAACAGCCUGUAGUAGGCUGGCCUCACAGACGUUUCCUUGAUUGCUAAUGGAGAAGAAUUACCUAGCCUGCUAAGAACAUCUCAGGGCAGGCUGACCUGAGCUGGAUAACAAAGAUGACAGCCUACUAAUGAUGUAAAUUUGAUUAAGUAAGAACAUGUGCCAUAUGGAGUAAUUGACAAUGUUUGCAAUAUUGAUGAGGAACCUCAAUCCAAUCAAUGUGGUGUGUUUACUAAUUCCCUGCAGGCCUCCAACAGCCAAAGAAGAAAUAAGGGAAUGGGGUUGAGGAGCAAGGUGACAAGAUGUUCCAAAAAUAAGCAAAAGACAUGAAAAACAAUAUUCUCUGGCAGCAGUUCUUGAGUGGGACAUUCAGCUCAUGAAUUUCAUGGUAUUUAAUUUUCCCAGAAAAGAGUUAAAAUCAAUGUUGGUAAUAUUUAAGGAAAAGCUUUUCUUCAUGUGAUACAAAGAUUAUAAUAAAGAGCAUCAAUGAUUAACAACUCAACAUCUACACAAGACUGGGCCUGUCAAGACCCUGCUUUGAAUGGAAAAAUGGGCUCAUGGGAUC
Peromyscus maniculatus bairdii (prairie deer mouse) is the source of this 1132-nucleotide long non-coding RNA. RefSeq lists it as uncharacterized. Lineage: Eukaryota; Metazoa; Chordata; Mammalia; Rodentia; Cricetidae. The record is from RefSeq and is a predicted model, not a curated record.